Molecule: non-coding RNA, 21 nt
Filed under: Caenorhabditis elegans
Lineage: Eukaryota; Metazoa; Nematoda; Chromadorea; Rhabditida; Rhabditidae
Source: RNAcentral
UGUCUUUUUAAACUUUCUUUU